AAGACGUAAGUAUUAAACCGUGCAUAUAACUUUCAUUUUCCACAAGCAAGAGUAAUAAUCUUCAUUGCAUUUUCUUACCAAUACUGAUACAUCAUACAUUUGUUAGGCAACACGUCUUUUUCUUUUUCUCCUUUCAUAAUUUUCUUUUAUUCUUAUACAAAUUCAUAUCACGUUCACACACAUGCUUUAUUGUUUUACAAACAUGUUUAAACUUAGAACCCCCGCAAACAAGUUUAUAUUUUGAACCAAAAACCGUUGUAAGUUCGCAAAAAAAAAAACCGUUGUAUAAAUAAUUAAGAGAUUAUAACCAAAG
Molecule: long non-coding RNA, 313 nt
Filed under: Brassica napus (rape)
Lineage: Eukaryota; Viridiplantae; Streptophyta; Magnoliopsida; Brassicales; Brassicaceae
Description: long non-coding RNA (BNAP_LNC002030)
Source: RNAcentral